UAGGGAAUCUUCCGCAAUGGACGCAAGUCUGACGGAGCAACGCCGCGUGAGUGAAGAAGGAUUUCGGUUCGUAAAACUCUGUUGUUAGAGAAGAACAGCGCAUAGAGUAACUGUUAUGCGUGUGACGGUAUCUAACCAGAAAGCCACGGCUAACUACGUGCCAGCAGCCGCGGUAAUACGUAGGUGGCAAGCGUUGUCCGGAUUUAUUGGGCGUAAAGCGAGCGCAGGCGGUCAAUUAAGUCUGAUGUGAAAGCCCCCGGCUCAACCGGGGAGGGUCAUUGGAAACUGGUUGACUUGAGUGCAGAAGAGGAGAGUGGAAUUCCAGUUGUAGCGGUGAAAUGCGUAGAUAUAUGGAGGAACACCAGUGGCGAAGGCGACUCUCUGGUCUGUAACUGACGCUGAGGCUCGAAAGCGUGGGUAGCAAACAGG
This 429-nucleotide ribosomal RNA is filed under the name Bacteroidota bacterium. RNAcentral's name for it is "Bacteroidetes bacterium partial 16S ribosomal RNA". It matches the Rfam family "Bacterial small subunit ribosomal RNA", at positions 355 to 776 of the family's 1533-position model. Lineage: Bacteria; Pseudomonadati; Bacteroidota. The record is from RNAcentral.